GCAGACGGCCCGCAAGUCCACCGGC
This 25-nucleotide non-coding RNA is filed under the name Cricetulus griseus (Chinese hamster). The record is from RNAcentral. Lineage: Eukaryota; Metazoa; Chordata; Mammalia; Rodentia; Cricetidae.